RNAcentral lists this ribosomal RNA (440 nucleotides) under uncultured bacterium. RNAcentral describes it as "partial 16S ribosomal RNA". It matches the Rfam family "Bacterial small subunit ribosomal RNA", at positions 338 to 795 of the family's 1533-position model. The record is from RNAcentral.
CCUACGGGAGGCUGCAGUAGGGAAUAUUGCUCAAUGGGGGAAACCCUGAAGCAGCAACGCCGCGUGGAGGAUGAAGGUUUUAGGAUUGUAAACUCCUUUUGUUAGAGAAGAUUAUGACGGUAUCCAACGAAUAAGCACCGGCUAACUCCGUGCCAGCAGCCGCGGUAACACGGAGGGUGCAAGCGUUACUCGGAAUCACUGGGCGUAAAGGGGGCGUAGGCGGGGUAAUAGGUCAGAUGUGAAUUCCUGUAGCUUAACUACAGAACUGCAUUUGAAACUGUUACUCUGGAGUGUGGGAGAGGUAGGUGGAAUGCGUGGUGUAGGGGUAAAAUGCAUAGAGAUCGAGAAGAAUACUCAUUGCGAAGGCGACCUGCUGGAACAUUACUGACGCUGAUGCACGAAAGCGUGGGGAGCGAACAGGAUUAGAUACCCCGGUAGUC